RNAcentral lists this ribosomal RNA (459 nucleotides) under uncultured bacterium. RNAcentral describes it as "partial 16S ribosomal RNA". It matches the Rfam family "Bacterial small subunit ribosomal RNA", at positions 339 to 795 of the family's 1533-position model. The record is from RNAcentral.
CUACGGGCGGCUCCAGUGAGGAAUAUUGGUCAAUGGGCGAAAGCCUGAACCAGCCAUGCCGCGUGAAGGAUGACGGCCCUAUGGGUUGUAAACUUCUUUUAUACGGGAAGAAACACCUCUACGUGUAGAGGUUUGACGGUACCGUACGAAUAAGCAUCGGCUAACUCCGUGCCAGCAGCCGCGGUAAUACGGAGGAUGCAAGCGUUAUCCGGAUUUAUUGGGUUUAAAGGGUACGUAGGCGGAAACUUAAGUCAGUAGUGAAAUCCCGCAGCUUAACUGUGGAACUGUUAUUGAUACUGGGUUUCUUGAAUAUUGUUGAGGUAGGCGGAAUAAGUAAUGUAGCGGUGAAAUGCUUAGAUAUUACUUAGAACACCGAUUGCGAAGGCAGCUUACUAAGCAAUUAUUGACGCUGAGGUACGAAAGCGUGGGGAGCGAACAGGAUUAGAUACCCGCGUAGUC